AGCUUUGUGCAGUGGCAGCAUUGUAACCAAUGAGGCUUAUCCAAGGCACGAUUAUUGCUAAUUAAAUAUCUUAUUUUUGUUUCCUUACAUUUAAA
Molecule: small nuclear RNA, 95 nt
Filed under: Chlorocebus sabaeus (green monkey)
Lineage: Eukaryota; Metazoa; Chordata; Mammalia; Primates; Cercopithecidae
Description: U4 spliceosomal RNA (ENSCSAG00000024598.1)
Rfam family: U4 spliceosomal RNA
About the family: U4 small nuclear RNA (U4 snRNA) is a component of the major U2-dependent spliceosome.
Source: RNAcentral